Molecule: long non-coding RNA, 4999 nt
Filed under: Sus scrofa (pig)
Lineage: Eukaryota; Metazoa; Chordata; Mammalia; Artiodactyla; Suidae
Description: lncRNA (ENSSSCG00000055223.1)
Source: RNAcentral
GAAAUAUAUACACCACAACCCAAAUGGAGGGUUAUGGGUGAUUUUUAUUUUCUUUCCAUGUUAUAUAUCUGAGUGACUAUAUAGUAAUAAUUAUAAAUUGUUUAGUGUGCCUCAUAUACACAUUUACAAAGGCUUGUUUGCUGAUGUGGGUGUGUGUGUUUUGCCUUAUUACAUAAGAUAUCUCCAAUUCAAAUUCCCACCAAAAAUUAUCUAUUUAUUUUUAUGUUCAUCGAAGUAUAGUUGCUAUACAAUACCAUACAAGUUACAGGUGCACAACACAGGGACCCCAAACCCCCAAGGGUUACAGUCCAUUUACAGCCAACAUAAAACACUGGCAAUAUUUCCCAUGUUGUACAGCAUAUCGUUGUAACUUAUUCUAUACCUAAUAAUCUAUAAUUCCCAAUCCCUCCCCCCCAAAACUGAUCCCAUCCCUUUACCUCGCUCCACUGGUAACCAAUAGUUCUCUAUGCCUUUGAGUCUGCUUUUUUGUUAAAAAAAUCCUCUUUUAAAAAAAUACUAUGCCAACACACUCAUUAAAGACGUGAGGGGACACUUUUAAUCUCAAUUAGAUGGAGGAGCUGGUCAGAAGUCUCAGCUGGUCCCCUGAUCCUACCUUCAGUGGCGCAAUGAAAGGGGCCAGAACACUUCCCUCCAGAGUGAAUGGUCAGCCGUGCUGCUCACAGUCACACUGCCCUCCAAACUUCUCACCCCACCACUCCUCACUCACAGGGAUGAGGGGACUGUGUCCCAGGCUCUGUCUGCAGCCCUGACCUCCAUCCUCUCUCUGCCUCUUAUUCACCCUUCACUCAUCUCCCUGCCCCCUGACAUUCUGGAGCUUUAGCCAAAUGAGUGAGGGCCCUCACCUGCUUGCAGGGUCAUAUUUCUAAGGAGAAAGAAUGGUAAGAUAUUUCUAGCCACUUUCUCACUCUUACUUUUGGUCUCUUCUGAUGUCCUAAAAUUCCACCUUGUUUUACCCAGAAAGAAUUCUGCUGAUUUCCUCAGUCUAUACCCAUGAUGCUCGUGGCCAUGACACAGCAGAGAAGUGGAGCACAGACAUCCCGGAAAGAUGCCCCUUAUGCAAACUGGGAAGCUAUCCAUGGACUCUGACACUUGGGGAAAAGGGAACAGGCACUCACCAUACAUCAGGCAGAGAAGCUGCUCAGCAUCAGUUAGGCCCUGGCCUCCCCUCCCACCUACUGAUGCAAACAUGUAGGGUACCAUGUGAGGAAGCAUCCAAAAUGGCUACAGGCUAAGACUGGCUUCCCCUGUAGCAGUGUGAUCCCUGUACAUCUUGUUGAUCUGGAAAUACGAUAUCCUAUACAUUUUAGUUCUCUGUCAAUGAGACACUCACCCAAUUUUAGAGGCCCUGUGUGAUACCAACUCAGUUUCUCAUGGGGUGACUUAGAAUAAGACAGACUUGAUGCAAUUGGCUAAAUCAUUUUUAUCCAUGUACCAACAGGCUCCAAUCAUGGCAACCUGAUCAAUCUUCUGGUCAUCUACAUGAAUACCCCAAAUGACCCAGAUAAUCCAAUUGGCUGUGGUGUAGCCCAGUCACAAUUUACAUCAGACCAUCUGGUGACUGUGUCUCCUCCAAGAGCAGCCGAGAAGGACCAUCUGCUUCCAUGCUCCUUACAUCCUGCUGAAGGAGGCAAAGGUUGAGGCCGACUACACACCAGCAAGCCAUCCUCCUGCCUUUGCAUGAAUCAAAAACAACCUAAAAUGCUCUGUAAUUUAGCUGCUCACAUCCUGCGGAGACUGCUUUGCAUUCUCAGUGAACACAUUGUAAUAUUCAGAAUGCAAAUUAAACUUUAUGGGUGCCAUAACCUUGGCCAUUUAUUGCAGCAGAUUCCGUAAUUGCCUGAUGCUGCUAAUACAGCCAAGACUACUUUGGCUUAAAAAAAAAAAAAAAAAAAAAAAAAAAAAACCUUUGCAGAUAGAGCUGCCAUGUUGAUUAAGCAAUCCUGGUGUUUGCUUGCACAACUUCUUAGGCUAAUGUAUUGGUUAAGGUCCUUUUGCUUCAGGCAAUAGUCAUAGCUAGAUAUGAUAGAAAAACUGAAAAUAACACAUAUUAGUAUAUUCAAGUAUAUUUCUCAUGUAGUGGAGAGGUACACGGAGGUAAUAUUAUGAGGGAAAAUGGGAUUGCACCAAAACAUGAGGAGAGUUAGAAACAAACAGCUCAGUUUAAGACCAACUGGUAACUACAAGUUAUACUAGAAGGUAAAAUUUGUUCUUUGAAUAAUAUGAACCAUAAAUGUAUCUCUGGUUUGCCCUAAAUUUGAAGCACACAGAAUUAGGGUUGUGGCCAGAGAAGAGAUGAGAAAGCCAGGGCUAAUACUGACUUCUGUGACUCCUGCCUGUGAAUUAGAGAAAGUCCCUGUCACUCCAGGGAGAUAAAGUCGGCCCUAAUCAGGGACAAACAGCCAGGGAGUAGGCAGCAGAAGCUCAGGGGACAUAGUUCUGUGUUCAAGAGCCAAAGACUCUUUCCCAAAGUAGCUGCCAGCGCUGGGCCCCUCCCAGUUCAUACUGUAAGUGAUUCCUUUUUCAGCCUGUAUCUCCUUGUACUGCUGAUUAGUAAACAUCUCAUUCUGUUCCAAAUACAUUUUCAGCAUCAAGAAAAGUAAAUGACAGUGAGACUAAAACACUGUCAUCAUUUCCGCUGCCAGUUGAUCCAUUCCUGGAAUUUCUUAUAAAUCAUUUUUUUCCCCGCAGGAUGGAUUUUUAAUAUCAGAGCAUCAUGGCAAAAUGUGAUCACUGGACAAUUACGUCCUGUUUUAAAAGGUGGCUUCUUUGGACAAGCUGGCAGCUGGUUUUUCUACCCAGAAAGGUAGCUAGCUGCUCUGUGCUCUCUGCGUCAUCUGAAAGCCUUAUCACAGCCUUUAAAAAUGCAGGUAAAUUAAUUUCACCAAGUCCUAGGAAAUAGGGAUAUGAUUUAUAUUUACUCUUUCCAAGGAUUUAAUAGCUAGAAUGAUUUCCCCUUCCAGAAAAAAGUUUAUUUGCAAUGACCUUUUUAUUCUUUUCCUACGUUGUAUUAUGAGGUCUUGAAACAGUAUCUAAAAUAUAGCUUUCCUGGAGCAUGGGAUCAAACUCACCACUCUAUCAUUUGGGGAUCAUCUUCUCUUUUCAGAAAACAAAAUUAAUUUUGGUUUUUUGGCCACUUUAACUAACAAAUGAAUAUUUUCAACUUUGAAUUCCCUGCCUCUGCAUUUUAACUUAGUUUUCAAUAAUACAUCUGAGACCAAAAGAAAUUUUGACCAUUACUUUUUAAAAAAUUAAGGACUCAAAGUUUAAAAAAUAAACAAUUCAAAGGUGCACCAAAGUUCAAACACAAGUCCUUUCCUGCUAGAUUUUUAUUUAUAUUACUACAGAGAGUGUAGUAUAGACAGAGAGUGAAUCACAGACUUACCUCUGCAUCCACGUCACCAUGAUGCCCACCAUCUCCAUCCAUUCAUAUGUGCAGGGCAGGCCAGGGAAUGGGGAUACCAUCCUCUAGGAGCAGCCCUCAACCAAUCAUCAGUGGCAACUAGUAUAGACAUCUCCAGCUUCCUCAUCGCUGGGUGGAGUAGCACUGAGGUGCGUGCCCCCAGAGCUUCUCCAGAAAAACCAAGCUCCAGCUGCCCACAGUGGUAACCCACUUUCAGUGCCUCUCCCAGGACCUUCUACUGUGUUGUCUGGAAUCACAAUCCAAAUAAACCACCUGAACCCAAAUCUAGUCUUAUUCUGGGGGAAACCCCAACUCAGUCAGCCAGCAGCAUAAAUAUACAAGCUAUAAAAAUGGACUUUAAACACAUUUGUCUCCAAAUUAAAAAAAAAAUUAAGACACACCCCAAUCAAAUUCAAGAAAUUUCAUCUUAUUCAACUUUAUGUAGAAUUUGUCUGCAGCUUUAGAUAUUUACUUCUUUCAGAAGAACUUGACUUCCUUUUAAAAUCUUUGGCUCACAAAUGCCAUUGUAGAGUGAACAUCUCUAUUCUUUACUUCAAUCUCAUUUGAGACCAGGAGAAUGGCUUUGACCUUGUUUAGGUCACUUGAACUCUAUGGGCUCCCAGCUAACUUUCUUCCACACCCCAAGCUGUAUUAAUGCCAACAAAACAAAACAUGACUUUCUAGUUCAAAUGAGAAUAUUUUUGAAAAGGCUUAUUAAAAGGUUCAUACGAUGUGCCAGUGUUUGAAAUAACUCUAAGGUAUAUAAAUGAGUCAGGAACACACAGAUUAAGUUUCCCUUGAAAUACAGAGUUUUCAAAAGAAAGGAGUCCUUGGGAAAACAUGUUUAUAAGGAUUUACUGCUUUGUUUUGUUUGUUUGUUCUUUCACUUUGUUAAACAUUUGAAGGCUUGUUGAAAAUUUUAUCUGCAAUAAAAGUACCCCUGAAUCUUCUUAAAAUUGCUGUUAAGAGACAAUCAUUUCAAUGGGGAAUAAACAUUUAAAGUUCUUAGAGAACAAAAUUCUAGAGUUUCUAUCAAUCCAAAAAAUGUUUUAAUAUCCUAAAAUCAACUAUCUUUAAAGAUUGUGCAAUCUAAGAUAAGCAGACCUUAGCAUAUGUUUACAUUUAUGCCAAAUUUAUAGUCAUCAGUAUUAUCGUUCAUGAAAGCCAAUUUGUAAGAAAGGUUGACAUUCCUUUACAUUUUGCAAAUUCAUUUGUUUUCUUGCCAUAAAAGCUAAAUAAUUUUUGGCAAAUUAUUAUCAUAUCCAAGUGUCUCUACAUUUUAAACACUUCAUCUUAACUAAAUAUGCACCAAAGAAAGAUUUUUUUUAAAAAAUCCUGGAGUUCCCGUCGUGGCGGUGGUUAGCAAAUCCAACUAGGAACCAUGAGGUUGCGGGUUCGAUCCCUGCCCUUACUCAGUGGUUUAAUGAUCUGGCGUUGCCGUGAGCUGUGGUGUAGGUCGCAGACGUGGAUCAGAUCCUGUGUUGCUGUGGCCCUGGUGUAGGCUGGCAGCUACAGCUCCAAUUAGACCCCUAGCCUGGGAACCUCCAUAUGCCGCACGCAGGAGCGGCCCAAGAAAUG